Molecule: ribosomal RNA, 172 nt
Filed under: Saprolegnia longicaulis
Lineage: Eukaryota; Oomycota; Saprolegniomycetes; Saprolegniales; Saprolegniaceae
Description: partial 28S ribosomal RNA
Rfam family: Eukaryotic large subunit ribosomal RNA
Source: RNAcentral
UUGGACCUGAUAUCAAACAAGACUACCCGCUGAACUUAAGCAUAUCAUUAAGCGGAGGAAAAGAAACUAACAAGGAUUCCCCCAGUAACGGCGAGUGAAGCGGAAGAGCUCAGCCUAAUUUCAUCUGUUUGCAUACCUAAAAAAACCGGUUGGUAAUAACCCGACCUCCCCC